Molecule: long non-coding RNA, 708 nt
Organism: Misgurnus anguillicaudatus (oriental weatherfish)
Lineage: Eukaryota; Metazoa; Chordata; Actinopteri; Cypriniformes; Cobitidae
Source: RefSeq, a predicted model, not a curated record
AACAGACCUUACUGGAAAAUGACAGAAAAUUCCCGUUUAACCCUUUAGGGGUAAAACUAAUACUGUAACUGAUGUGAGUGAAACUUUUAAUCUCAACACUUUCCAGUUCAUCAUGUAUGUCUUUCCAAAAAAACUUUUAAAGAAAGCAGUGGCGGCUGGUGCUAAAAGAUUUUUGGGGGGGCGCAAACAUACUCAAAAUCAAACCUUUACUGUAGUAAUGCAGGGCUGGAAAUAGCCGUUUAUCCGGUGAUGAAUUUCAUUACUGCUUAGCUAAUGCUAAAAAAAGGUACUGUUGAAGUAUAGCUCAACUGGUAGAGCCUAUGUUAUAGUAGUAGUAUUAGUAAACUUGAUCAACUGAAUGUAGUUGAAAGUCUCAGUGAUUGACUAACAGCUGAUGUUUGUAUCAAAAGGUCCAUCAGCCACUACAGAUCAUUUCAGGAGCGUACAGUAAGGCCGAGAAAUCCAACCAUGACCGCUUGAAGAUGAACUACAAGAGCAUCUUCCCGGGAGUUCAUCUCUAUGUGAACAAUUUGCCCUACAGCUGGACAGAUCAGGAGCUUCAUAGAGUCUUCCCCACUUUGGGACCAUCACCAAUGCUAAGGUGGUGAGGAACGGCAGCCGCAGCCGAGGGUUCGGCUUUGUGUGUUUAAUUUUUUUAUAUGUGGUGUCCCUCUACCUGAAUGAAUAUAAAAAAUUACUUUUUUAUGA